RNAcentral lists this ribosomal RNA (253 nucleotides) under uncultured bacterium. RNAcentral describes it as "partial 16S ribosomal RNA". It matches the Rfam family "Bacterial small subunit ribosomal RNA", at positions 524 to 776 of the family's 1533-position model. The record is from RNAcentral.
UACGUAGGGUGCAAGCGUUGUCCGGAAUUCUUGGGCGUAAAGAGCUCGUAGGCGGCCUGUUGCGUCCGCUGUGAAAGCCCGGGGCUUAACCCCGGGUCUGCAGUGGAUACGGGCUGGCUAGAGGCAGGCAGGGGAGAACGGAAUUCCCGGUGUAGCGGUGAAAUGCGCAGAUAUCGGGAGGAACACCGGUGGCGAAGGCGGUUCUCUGGGCCUGUACUGACGCUGAGGAGCGAAAGCGUGGGGAGCGAACAGG